UACGUAGGGUGCGAGCGUUAAUCGGAAUUACUGGGCGUAAAGCGUGCGCAGGCGGUUCGUUAAGUCAGAUGUGAAAGCCCCGGGCUCAACCUGGGAACUGCAUUUGAAACUGGCGGGCUUGAGUAUGGCAGAGGGGGGUGGAAUUCCGCGUGUAGCAGUGAAAUGCGUAGAGAUGCGGAGGAACACCAAUGGCGAAGGCAGCCCCCUGGGCCAAUACUGACGCUCAGGCACGAAAGCGUGGGGAGCAAACAGG
Molecule: ribosomal RNA, 253 nt
Filed under: uncultured bacterium
Lineage: Bacteria
Description: partial 16S ribosomal RNA
Rfam family: Bacterial small subunit ribosomal RNA
Source: RNAcentral